AUGUUUUCUGGCAAAUGUCUUCCUGCAUUAGUGAAAUCCCCCCCAAGAAGCAGCAGGACACCUGCAGGAAGUGAAUCAAGGCUCUGGAGCAGAAGAAAAAAUAAUCACCUGCUUUAAAAUAAAUAAAUAAAAGUACUGUUGGAAAAAGAAAAAAAAAAAAAAAAAGGAGAAACAUUUCUUUCUAUUUGUUUUUAGGUGUAAAAUUUUAAUAAUUAACGCAGAAUUCUGUAAUUGUUGACUCAUUAGUGGCUAAUGUUUGAAGCAGCUCUUGCAGUGAGUCUGUGGCGUGCUGAUGAAGGCGUUCAGCCCGAGUUUGUGGUGCUUGGGCAGCGGGAGCCAAAGCAGGGCCAGCAGGGGCCAGGCUUGCUUUAGUUCCUCCUCCAGCCUGGGAGCUGUGCCUGUGCUGAGCAGGGUGUGACACUGUCCUGUGCAUUGUGACACUGUCCUGUGCAGGGUGACACUGUCCUGUGCAGGGUGUGGCACUGUCUUGUGCUGUUUGACACUGUCCUGUGCAGGGUGACACUGUCCUGUGCAGGGUGUGGCACUGUCCUGUGCAUAGUGACAUUGUCCUGUGCUGUUUGACACUGUCCUGUGCAGGGUGACACUGUCCUGUGCUGUUUGACACUGUCCUGUGCAGGGUGUGACACUGUCCUGUGCAGGGUGUGACACUGUGUCCUGUGCAGUGUCACCCUGUCCUGGACAGUCUGUGUGUGCUCUGUGUCCUGUACAGCCCAUGUAUCUCCGUGUGCUCUGUGUCCUCUCCUGUCCAUCCCUGUCCAUCCCUGUCCCCGUGUCCAUCCCUGUCCCUCCCUGUCCCUGUGUCCGUCCCUGUCCAUCCCUGUCCAUCCCUGUCCCCGUGUCCAUCCCUGUCCAUCCCUGUCCAUCCCUGUCCAUCCCUGUCCCUGUGUCCAUCCCUGUGUGUCCCUGUCCCCCUGUCCAUCCCUGUCCCCAUGUGCUGUUGGGGGUGGCUCUGGAGCUGAGCUGGCAGUGCAGGGUGGCUGUGCUCCUGCAAUCCCAGCACUGGGGGCCUGUGGAGGAACAGAGCUUGCUGCAGUCCAGACUCAGAGGUGGCAUUGGGAAUUUAGAGGUGGCACAAGUAUUAACUUUUAACAGUCUUUAUUCUCGGUGUUGUAGUAUCCUUUCCUUUCGCACCACCAACUGUUUGGGCUCUCCAGGGGUUUUCACAGAACGAGUCUGUAGUGUAAAACUGAAAGAUCAUGUUGCAACUUUGUAUAAAAACCAUCUUGCAAAACAAAGGCCUUUCUUUUUUCUUUGGCUUGGGACUUUUGAGACAAUUCCUAACAUACCUGUAAUUCUUGCUUUUAUAAUUUGUGUUAGCAGAGACUCUGAUGCGUUGGAAAUGUAGAUUUAAUGUGCACUCCUGUGCUUUCUGCCAAGUGGUCAUUCACUUUGGAGUUUUACUAUGUUCAACCUGUAAAUACAGCAGAAUGUCAAUAAAUGUCACUUCUGUAGCGAUUGUUGCUGUGGG
This 1489-nucleotide long non-coding RNA is filed under the name Cyanistes caeruleus (blue tit). Its description in RNAcentral is "lncRNA (ENSCCEG00000007003.1)". Lineage: Eukaryota; Metazoa; Chordata; Aves; Passeriformes; Paridae. The record is from RNAcentral.